GAAAAUGGACUAUAUGUACAAAAGUCUACUAAGCUUAGUACCAUUGUCUACAAGCCAUGUAUAAUCUUUAUAUGCAUAUAAUGAGGUAAUAACAUAUUUUGGUUAGAUCAGACAACAAGCCAAUUUAGGGAGGCACUUCCAAAAGAGUUAUGGCGUCUCUAAACUUUGGUUUCUAACAAUCAGUAGACAGUUUUGCCCUUGUGAGUAAAUGACAACUGAGCUUUACUCGUUUCUUGUCUUCAUAAUAUAAAAUGGUUGUUCUUGGCCGUGGUAUAUAACUCUGCCUCCAUAUCAUGGAAUAAGUAAGAAGUGAAAGACUAUUUGAACAAGUUAGUUGAGAGAGAGAGAGAGAGAGAGGGCAAGGCUCUUUAAUGCCAUCCAAGAAUAGAAAACGACACAACUAAACCGCGUGAUCAAUUGAGAUGAUCCAUGUGCAAGCCAUGCCAAAUCCUUAUGAUGCGACACAGAACAAAAGGGCCAUCACACUUUGGAGGUGUUGUUGGGACCUGCAGCCCCCCUUAACUAAUAUACUUUUCUUCCACGUGUGGACUUGGAGUUUUUUGCUCUUCAAUUUUAGUCUCUCAUUUUCCAUAGCAGCCUAAAUAAAAAUUUAAAUUAACCCUCUUCAACUUGGCAAAUCCUGGGGCCGGAGAUGUCAAAUCCUUUUGUUUUCUAUAGAGAAAGAGUGAAAGAUUGCCACAGGUCCAUUUGCAUUGGGACCAUGAUUGUUACUGUAAUAGUUUUCAUGUAGCUAUCAAAACCACUCUGCCACAGGGUUUAUCAGAUAAAAUUAUCAUAUUAUCCAAAAUGGUCUAGUGCACACAUAAACACUUUAUAUUUGAGUCUAUUUAAAGAAAGAAAGAAAGAAAAAAUGGAAAUGUAAAAAAGUAAAUAAAACAAGCAAA
This is a long non-coding RNA of Humulus lupulus (European hop), 905 nucleotides long. RefSeq lists it as uncharacterized. The record is from RefSeq and is a predicted model, not a curated record. NCBI's taxonomy places the organism in Eukaryota, Viridiplantae, Streptophyta, Magnoliopsida, Rosales, Cannabaceae. The transcript has 2 exons.